GCCUUUUAUAGCUGACUAUGCGGUAUGGGCUUUGCUUAUUGUUUAAGGACAUCCGGUGACCUAUAGUUGUUUUUUUUUUGUCAUUUUGGUCUCUUGUGGAGAGUUGUCACAUAUGGAAUCAUGUCACAUUUUCUUAUUUUUGUGUUCAAACACCGAAAAUAAGGUUACAGAAUGAUGAACUUGCGCCAAUAUACAGAAUGAUGAACUUGCGCCAAUCUACAGAAUGAUAAACUACCGCCAAUCUACAGAAUGACGAACUUGCGCCAAUCUACAGAAUGAUGAACUUUCGCCAAUCUACAGAAUAAUGAACUUGCGCCAAUCUACAGAAUGACGAACUUGCGCCAAUCUACAGAAUGAUGAACUUGCGCCAAUCUACAGAAUGAUGAACUUGCGCCAAUCUACAGAAUAAUGAACUUGCGCC
Molecule: long non-coding RNA, 421 nt
Filed under: Mytilus galloprovincialis (Mediterranean mussel)
Lineage: Eukaryota; Metazoa; Mollusca; Bivalvia; Mytilida; Mytilidae
Source: RNAcentral